CAGGCCUAACACAUGCAAGUCGAGCGGGCGUAGCAAUACGUCAGCGGCAGACGGGUGAGUAACGCGUGGGAACGUACCUUUUGGUUCGGAACAACACAGGGAAACUUGUGCUAAUACCGGAUAAGCCCUUACGGGGAAAGAUUUAUCGCCGAAAGAUCGGCCCGCGUCUGAUUAGCUAGUUGGUGAGGUAACGGCUCACCAAGGCGACGAUCAGUAGCUGGUCUGAGAGGAUGAUCAGCCACAUUGGGACUGAGACACGGCCCAAACUCCUACGGGAGGCAGCAGUGGGGAAUAUUGGACAAUGGGCGCAAGCCUGAUCCAGCCAUGCCGCGUGAGUGAUGAAGGCCCUAGGGUUGUAAAGCUCUUUUGUGCGGGAAGAUAAUGACGGUACCGCAAGAAUAAGCCCCGGCUAACUUCGUGCCAGCAGCCGCGGUAAUACA
RNAcentral lists this ribosomal RNA (440 nucleotides) under uncultured Alphaproteobacteria bacterium. RNAcentral's name for it is "bacterial SSU rRNA". It matches the Rfam family "Bacterial small subunit ribosomal RNA", at positions 43 to 527 of the family's 1533-position model. The record is from RNAcentral. Lineage: Bacteria; Pseudomonadati; Pseudomonadota; Alphaproteobacteria.